AGCAGCCGCGGUAAUUCCAGCUCCAAUAGCGUAUAUUAAAGUUGUUGCAGUUAAAAAGCUCGUAGUUGAAUUUCGGGAUUAGUACGUUGGUCGUGCCUUCGGUACGUACUGGUGUUACUGAUUCCUACCUUCUGACGAACCAUCAUGUCAUUAAUUUGGUGUGGCGGGGAAUCAAGACUGUUACUUUGAAAAAAUUAGAGUGUUUAAAGCAGGCUCGCGCUUGAAUACAUUAGCAUGGAAUAAUGAAAUAGGACGUUGACCCAAUCUUGUUGGUUUCUAGGAUUGACGUAAUGAUUAAUAGGGAUAGUUGGGGGCAUUAGUAUUCAAUUGUCAGAGGUGAAAUUCUUGGAUUUAUUGAAGACUAACUACUGCGAAAGCAUUUGCCAAGGAUGUUUUCAUUAAUCAAGAACGAAAGUUAGGGGAUCGAAGACGAUCAGAUACCGUCGUAGUCUUAACCAUAAACUAUGCCGACUAGGGAUCGGAUGAUGUUAUUUUUAAUGACUCA
This 505-nucleotide ribosomal RNA is filed under the name uncultured Glomeromycotina. RNAcentral describes it as "SSU rRNA". It matches the Rfam family "Eukaryotic small subunit ribosomal RNA", at positions 569 to 1078 of the family's 1831-position model. The record is from RNAcentral. Lineage: Eukaryota; Fungi; Glomeromycota.